Molecule: transfer RNA, 69 nt
Filed under: Chlorarachnion reptans
Lineage: Eukaryota; Cercozoa; Chlorarachniophyceae
Source: RNAcentral
GUGGUGCUGCAAUCUACUUGUCUCUUAUUUCUUUUGGAAUAAAAAAAAGCAUUGAAGUUCUUCGGAAAA